RNAcentral lists this unclassified non-coding RNA (154 nucleotides) under uncultured Pleosporales. RNAcentral's name for it is "sequence contains ITS2". Lineage: Eukaryota; Fungi; Ascomycota; Dothideomycetes; Pleosporales. The record is from RNAcentral.
GUACCCUCCAGCCCUGCUGGGUGUUGGGCGUUUUGUUCCGCUGCACGCGUGAACUCGCCUCAAAUGCAUUGGCAGCCCGCCGUCCCGUGUGGGAGCGCAGCACAUUUUGCGCUCUCCGCUGCUGACGGUGGCAUCCACAAGUCUACCAUUUUAC